Molecule: non-coding RNA, 73 nt
Organism: Stegodyphus mimosarum
Lineage: Eukaryota; Metazoa; Arthropoda; Arachnida; Araneae; Eresidae
Source: Rfam
GCCUUCGUGGUGUAGUGGUCAGCACGCUCGACGCGUAACCGAGAGGUCCGUGGUUCGAUUCCCGGCGAAGGCA